Molecule: non-coding RNA, 305 nt
Organism: Pelobates cultripes (western spadefoot toad)
Lineage: Eukaryota; Metazoa; Chordata; Amphibia; Anura; Pelobatidae
Source: the annotation of a GenBank genome assembly
GGAACUCUCCCCCUGAGCAGAGAAGCAUGUAGCGCCUCAGCUGCCUGUAUAUCCUCAACCCUGUACAACCAAGCCUCCUUAGUUGGAAUCUCGGUCUUUUUCCCAAAAAACUGAAUCAGGGCUUUAGCCGCAUUAAGCAAGUGGCGUAAGAUGGAUUUCUUAGAGACCGAAAUAGGUUUUGAAAACGUGUGCCAGAGUGAGCUCCCCCGACCACUCAACUGAAUUCCUGAGAAAAUAUCGGUCACCUCAUCCCUCACCAUGUCCUAAAAGAGGUAAUUUCUGAACAGUCCCACCAUAUAUGCCAC